Molecule: long non-coding RNA, 831 nt
Filed under: Calidris pugnax (ruff)
Lineage: Eukaryota; Metazoa; Chordata; Aves; Charadriiformes; Scolopacidae
Description: lncRNA (ENSCPUG00000019080.1)
Source: RNAcentral
AUGGCUCCUGGCACCGAUGGGAAGGGUGUCAUGGCUGGUUGUGGCCCACAGCCACCAGGGAUGGUCACGGAACAGCAGGGAUGCUCAGCAGACACCAGGGAUGCUGGUGGAACUUCCACACCAGGGAUGCUCAGCAGACACCAGAGAUGCUCGUGGAACUUCCACACUAGGGAUGCUCAUGGGACACCAGGGAUGCUCUUGGAACUUCUGCACCAGGGAUGCUCAGCAGACACCAGGGAUGCUCGUGGGACACCAGGGAUGCUGGUAGAACUUCUGCACCAGGGAUACUCAGCAGACACCAGGGAUGCUCGUGGGACACCAGGGAUGCUCGUGGAUCUUCCACACCAAGGAUGCUCACGGGACACCAGGGAUGCUCGUGGAAUUUCCACACCAGGGAUGCUCGUGGGACACCAUGGAUGCUCUCCAGCACACGGCGUCAGGUCAGCAUCGCCAAAACACCGUUUUUUGGGCAGAAGGUGCGUUGCUGCCGACCCUGCUCGUACCCCUCCGUGGUUCUCCGCGGUGGGGGGUCCCGGGAAUCAGUUCACCGAGCCCCCCCCCCUUCCCGGCGUGUGAUUCCCCAGCCACACUGUCCUUAAAUGCGCCGUCACGAUGGAGCCAGGCACACGAGAUGGGAGCAUCCCCGGUGGGGACCGGUAACGCUUCCGCCCCCUUUCCCCCCCCCAAAAAAAAAAACUCCGCUACCGCCGCCGGAGGGGUUUGUAGACGCAGACGGCCAUGAGGAUGAUGGUGAGGAGGAGGGCGCUGAGGAUGCUGCCCAGCAGCACUGCGGGAGGAGGAGGAGGAGAGGUUAGGAUCUGAGUGCAUCCC